Molecule: long non-coding RNA, 4674 nt
Filed under: Mytilus galloprovincialis (Mediterranean mussel)
Lineage: Eukaryota; Metazoa; Mollusca; Bivalvia; Mytilida; Mytilidae
Source: RNAcentral
GUUUAAAAUAACAAUAUAACCGGAAUUACGAAAAGAUUUGUCAAAAUGCAAAACAUGUAGAUAUUGCUAUAUUUUAGAUGUUUUGUAAAAAGUAGUGUUACAUACAUUUGUGCGGAUUUUACUCCCACCAAGACACAAAUCAACAUGAAUAAGUAUGUCAACUUAAAACAGAUAUAGUCUGGAAGGUAAAGUUUUUGUUUUGUUUUAUUCAUUCAAUCUUAUGAAAUCAAAAAUAAAAGAUUGUUCAUAUUUUUUGGAAAUAACUGUCGGUUAUACCAGUAUAAAAAAGUGUACAAUAAGAAAGUUUGCUGAUUGAACUACACGAAUGGCUUCUGGUUGUAAUUCGUACACUGUCUUUCUCAAACGUCUGUUCCCACACAAAGUACUGACUCAUUUAAACGGUUCAGUUUGGUAGGAUAAAUAUAGCUAUUACUCAGAAACUCUAUGAAGAUAUGUGUAACCUUUUGGUAAUUGAGUGAAAUUUUGAAACACGUCAUUAGUUAACUCAUUCCGCUUAAUCAUUCCUGUUUUGAUUGAUUUUGUCUUUAUUGAUUUACCUUGAGGUUCGGUACUUUUGUCUUGUACUUAAAAUUAUAUCAUUUUUGUUUGACAAUCAAUUUUGUUUAGGUACUGUCGGUUUAUAUAAUAUUGUGAAUACAUUUCAUUCGCAAUCUUUAUUUUGUAGCCGAUAUUAUUUUGCUUUAUAAAUUAUCCUAUACAAUUUUCCAAUUAGCAUCGUGCCCAAAAUGUAUUAUUCUCCUUAAAGAUAGGAACUAUUCUGUUCAUAAAAUUUACACCAUUUUCUGCAUGACGUUAUCAAUGUGUAGACAAAAUAGAACAAAGUAGAACAUAACUUAUACAAAGACAUGUCGUACUCGCCUUCAGUGUUCAUAUUACCAACACUUAGUAUAGUUGCCAGUUGAAUUAGACGUACACUUUCAUGUUGUAAUAGAAGUUUACUUUUUGUGUAGUUUUUUUAAUGUUAUUGUUGCUCUAAAUUUAUUUUAGCUCGAUACAUUUUUUUUAAAUGGAGAAAAAAUGUUAUACAAGGAUUAUACAGCAAAUAAAGAAUAAGUUUGUAGUUCUUGCAAGGCUAAAUCAUCUGUAGUUAAUCAGACUUCUCAGCAACUUUGCUUUUUACCAUUUCUCACUAUCUGGUGACUGUUUCUGUAAAAGAGGGACGGAAGAUACAAGAGGGACAGUCAAACUCAUAUAUCGAAAAUAAAUUGACAACGCCUGGCUAAAAAUGAAAGAAGACAAUAGACAAACAAUAGAACACAUGACCCAACAUGAAUAAGCAACACGUGGUAAAGAACAUUUUUUAUGACAAUAUCAAUCCUUAGAUCAAUUGCGAUUUUGAAAUAUUUGAGGAUUUCACUGUAUCGACUGUUUAAUUUGUAUAUAUAUUUUUUUAUAUAUAUUACUGUUUCUGUAAAAUUUAUGUAAUAGGCAAAAAACUCCUUCAAGUUGUCUUUUUACAAUUUUCUUAAUAUUUAAUUUGUAGAUUAUUCUUCGAGGAUAUAUUUUAUCCUGCUAAUUAUUUUAUGCAGUUUGUCGGUUAUGCCAUUUCAAUGUGAAAUUGACUUUUCAUUGAAAUUUCAAAAGAAUGAUUCCAUUGUUCUGAAACUUCCUCAUGUUUCGAUCAUUUUAUUUUAUGUUAGUAAACAUACAUAGCCAGCUCAUUUUCAUUAUUGAAAUAUUCUGCAAUGUCUUCCCGUUUUCGCUACGAUUUUACAAAUUUCUAAAGUUGCUAUAAACAAAUAUUCCCCCGCCCUAUUAUCUGUUAUUUAAUAGAUUAUGUAUUAUAACUCAGAACAAACAACCAUCGAAAGAAAAUAAAUUUUGAAAUAAUAUUUGAAAGUGUUCUGCACGAUCGACAAGGAUAUAUUUUCAAUAAAGGAAGUACAACUGUGUUUUGUUGAUCAAUAAAUCUAUUUAAGUCCAUUUCAAAACCGUUUAUAAACCUUGCAGAGCUGUCAAAACCGAAAAAAAGUUGUAAAUUGUUCUUGCUUUAGAUUUUACUUCUAACCUUUGGAACUAUAGAAUUAUAUGUAAAACUACAGUCAUACUUAUUCAUUGUAAUUGCACAGAACGUAGAGUACCUGAAUCUAGUAUUAUGGAGGAAAACAUAACAUUAUUACAACAAGACCUAUCAAUGAGCAGUCAACGCUAAAAAACAUGAAAACAGAAAAUAUUAGAAAGGUAUACUAUUAGAUUUGUUUAUUUCCAAUGAAACCAUAUAUUUAGAUGUUAACAUAUUAAAUCAAUAUGUUAUUUCUGAAUAAGUUCGAUUUAGCAAAAACAAAUUUAUGUAACACACUUAAACCGAAAGUAUGACCAAAUCAUUGUAAAUGAAUCUUGUUUUUACAAUUAGUUCGUUUCUUUUUAAUUAUUCACUUUCCAAAUAUCGAUCGAGGUGUCUAUUUUCUAAGUACAAUUUGUUUUUGUUUGUAUGCCAAAAUAUACGAAGCCAAACAAAUAACCGUUGUUUUCAACUUAAAAUUUGCCAGAUAAAAUGUGAACAUGUUUUCUUUCUUAUUAUUGCUGUAGAAAUUACUGAACUGUUAAAUUUCGUCCAUUUAAAAGAUUGGUGGUGUCCUUUUUGUAUAUCCAGGUGGGCAUGAAACUAUUUCAUAUAUUAUCACUAUAUUCUAGAACCUAUUUAUUUUAGGGUGUUAUAUUAUUAAUUAAAAAACAGUCCGGUUUUGAAAAGUUCAUCGGAAGGUCCCAAUACGCUUUUCAUAUUAAUAUUUGUUAUCAAGUUCACAAAUAUUACUCGUUGGUCAUGAAGUAAACAUUUUUGGUACAUACUUUGUUUAUCAUCUUAAUAAUGUGUUAUAGAUAGUAUUUGUUUCUUUUUCUAUAUGAAUAUUGCUUUUGACAAAAAGUACACGAGAAACCAUCAAUUAACUUUUGCAUAUCUUUGAAUCAAAAAUUGACACUUGUAUGGGUCCGUAUGUUAGUCAAUCAAUCACUUACUGUUAUAUCAUUUUGUUUUAAUAUUGACUACUUUCAUCACUAAUUAAACUUUGUCAAUUUCCGUAUUCAUCCUACCGGCCAUACUAAGAGUAUUUCAAAUUGCCUUAAGUUUUAAUAUUAUCACCAACCUAUUUUUAUCAAAUAGGAGAACUAAAGGACAUAUUUAUAAAUACUUCCGCAAACUGGGAUAUAUUGAUAAGGAAAUAAUUAUAAAGUUUCAACCAAAUAGAAUUUGUUAAAUUUAGCUUUCUAUAUAUUUUUUUUCAUUUUGAUCAAUCAGGUUUUUAAUUUUUUCCAUACGAAACAUUACAGUUACAUUUCGUCGUGUACCAGUUUUAAUUCAGUUUUAUAUUUAUCUUUUAAACCUGAAACAGAACAAAAUACAAAAUCAUUCAAAACCCAAACAAUUAUGAUUAUGAUUAUGUACACAUAAGACAAGUUAAUUACACAUUUCAAUUAUUGGUAGAUCAUUGGAAGUUACGUUACGUUUUAUUAAUUUCUAGUGAUGUUACUAAAAUGUUACGUUGAAGACCUGUUGGUGACCCUCUGCUGUUGUUUUUUAUUUGGUCGGGUUGUUGUCUCUUUGACACAUUCCCCAUUUCCAUUCUCAAUUUUAUUUUAUUAUUGUAAUAUCAUAAACUAUAAUUGUUGUCAAUUUAAUUUGUUGACACUUCUAAGUAUACAAUUAGUCUAAUUGCGUUCUUCAACAUUCAAAUAACAUAUACAUAUGGGUUAAAUUCACUUUGUAUUUAUUAUGAUUAAAAUCAGCGUUUAAAAAUAAUUAUGCUACACACAUGUUUGCUACACAUAUCUUCGCUGACAUUGUAACUAAUGACUGCAGUAUGACAGGACUUUAAUAGCAUAAUAGUAAAUACAUAUGUACUUUCUGAAGGACAUACUAAAUCGUAUUUUAUCCCUCAUUAAUUUUUUUAAUUUGAUUAUGAUAUGCCCCAUUAGUGAUUUUAAAUUAAUAAAUAAAACAAUCAACAGGUAGGUAUAUAAGUAUACAAUAUAAUUUAUUCAUUGUAUACGUAAAUUGAAACACCAUACAAUUAUAAAGAAUACAGAUGAUUAUAGAUAGUUUAAAGGACAACAUAACUUUAUCGUGCUUUACAUGAAUUGUACAAUUGUAAAGAAUAAGGUUAAUUAUAGAUAGUUAGAAAAGGUGUUCAGUAGUCUUUCAUGCAAUGAUUUUGGAUGACUAAUUAAAACAUUGUUUAGGCUAUGACACUAGAUUACAUCUCCUAAAAAGGAAACAUACAGCUCUUAUCUGCUGACGAACAGAAAAACUACUAUGUGUACGUGUUUCAAUGUUCAUUUUGCAAAUAAUGACUAAACGUGAGUACAAAUGGGCUUUGUUAGUAGGGUUUAAAACUCAUUCUACAUUUUAUAAAUUGAAAACUGUGUAUCUAUAAUUUGAUUAAAUGGUAUGAUAAGUGUUUUGAAAGGUAUAACAAAAAACAAUUAGCUAAAUCAACAUGACACUUUUUAAACGUAUUAUACUCUAGUAUUGUUAAUAUGUAUGUCUGUUAUACAAGACUGUAUUAGUAAAAGUUCAUUUUAUUGUUGCAGGCUAGAGGAUAUAAGAUAUUUGGAAAAAAAAUGACUGUUGGUUCAGUUAACGUAUCUGUCUGAAGCUUUUCAAUAUUCGGUAGAAUUUAAAGAAGAAAGAAAAGAAGAAGAAAUGGAAGAAGC